UACAGAGGUCCCAAGCGUUGUUCGGAUUCAUUGGGCGUAAAGGGUGCGUAGGCGGUCUGCUAAGUUUGGUGUGAAAUCCCGGGGCUCAACCCUGGAAUUGCAUUGAAUACUGGUGGACUAGAGUACUGGAGAGGAAACUGGAAUUUACGGUGUAGCAGUGAAAUGCGUAGAGAUCGUAAGGAAGACCAGUGGCGAAGGCGAGUUUCUGGACAGUAACUGACGCUGAGGCACGAAGGCCAGGGGAGCAAACGGG
RNAcentral lists this ribosomal RNA (253 nucleotides) under uncultured bacterium. RNAcentral describes it as "partial 16S ribosomal RNA". It matches the Rfam family "Bacterial small subunit ribosomal RNA", at positions 524 to 776 of the family's 1533-position model. The record is from RNAcentral.